This 608-nucleotide ribosomal RNA is filed under the name uncultured bacterium. RNAcentral's name for it is "bacterial SSU rRNA". It matches the Rfam family "Bacterial small subunit ribosomal RNA", at positions 338 to 950 of the family's 1533-position model. The record is from RNAcentral.
CCUACGGGAGGCAGCAGUGAGGAAUAUUGGACAAUGGGCGCAAGCCUGAUCCAGCCAUGCCGCGUGCAGGAAGAAGCAUCUAUGGUGUGUAAACUGCUUUUGUACAGGAAGAAACACUCCCUCGUGAGGGAGCUUGACGGUACUGUAAGAAUAAGGAUCGGCUAACUCCGUGCCAGCAGCCGCGGUAAUACGGAGGAUCCAAGCGUUAUCCGGAAUCAUUGGGUUUAAAGGGUCCGUAGGCGGUUUGGUAAGUCAGUGGUGAAAGCCCAUCGCUCAACGGUGGAACGGCCAUUGAUACUGCUAGACUUGAAUUAUUGUGAAGUAACUAGAAUAUGUAGUGUAGCGGUGAAAUGCUUAGAGAUUACAUGGAAUACCAAUUGCGAAGGCAGGUUACUAACAAUAUAUUGACGCUGAUGGACGAAAGCGUGGGGAGCGAACAGGAUUAGAUACCCUGGUAGUCCACGCCGUAAACGAUGGAUACUAGCUGUUGGGAGUAAUCUCAGUGGCUAAGCGAAAGUGAUAAGUAUCCCACCUGGGGAGUACGUUCGCAAGAAUGAAACUUAAAGGAAUUGACCGGNUGAGAGAGCGAGACGACGACGAGGGAGAGG